CCAGGCACGAGAGCCGCGCUUUCCCGGCUAAAGAGCCGCUUCCACUCCAGCUGGGGCAGCCGGUCUCCGCCGCCGCCCGCGAGGAGGAGGAGGAGCUGCAGCAGACGCCGCACACCCGCCUUUCUCCGCCGGUUCCGCGCGCGUCGGGGUUACCCAGGCAACCCGAGCCGAGGUAGCGGCGGGAGUAGGCGGGAAUAAGCGAGCGGAGGACCGCAGCGUGGCCAGGACUUCUCUGGCUGAGGAGGAAGAAUCCAGGGGUUCUGAUUCUUCAUGUCGGCCCAGAUGGCAGUGUGGUACAGUGGAAAGAGCAGGAAGUCACGUCCUGGGGAUCCAAUUGGUGGCUCUCUCGGGUAAACUCUUUACCUUCUGAGACUGACUCCUCAUCUGCUUAAUGUGGAUGUUAAUACCUGCCUUGAGGAUCAAGUGUAAUAGAUGUGAAAACUGAGUACUUUUUGAAUGUGAAAUAGUUACCUUAAAGUCAUCUUGGGGAGUCAACAAUAUUAUCACACUGGAGAUUUCUGCAAAACAGUGCUAUCAUUUUAUCCAUCUGUAGUUGUAAAGCUAGUUUGCUGUACUGUUAAUUCAGCUUCCAACAACUGGUGCCUGUACCAGGUGCUGGGUCUGAAACAAUGAGUAAGACAGCAUGGGCUCUUCCCUCACAGAGCUGACACUCCAGGGGGGGACACAAAGAAGCACUUGUUACACUUACUUAAAUUAUUAAAGUGUGCUAAGGGUUAUGGUAGAGGAUCUUUGGGGUAUGGGUUACCAGGCAAAAUAUAGGACACCCAGUUAAAUGUGAAUUUCAGCUAAACACAAUACAUUUUUAGUACAAAUAUGUCCCAAAUAUUGCAUGGGAAAUUUACAUUAAAAAUUGUAUAUUGGAAAUCCAAAUGUUGCAUGGAGCAUACUUAUACAAAAAGAUUAUUCCUUAUUUAUAUGACAUUCAAAUUUAACUGGGCAUCCUGCAUUUUUAUUUGCUAUAUCUAGCAGUCUUAUCUAGGCUCCAAGGGAGUCCAUAGAAAGAGCAGCUAGCCUUUUCUGGAAAGGCUUUCCAGAGCAAGUGUUGGUUAAACUAAGAAGGAGGUGGGAGGAUAGAGAAGACAGUGGAUUUGGCCUAGAAUAUUCCAAGCAGAGGAACAGAAUAUGGGAGUGCUGGAAGCCUGAUUGCCUAGAGGGCAUUACAGGACCUAUCUGACACAGAAUGUCUGGGAUCAAAGUUGGGGAGACUGGGGGAGAUUAAGAAGGGGAUUUAAUAGUUAACAUAUAUAUAAAGCCAACACUUAUAUAAAGCUAACACUUAUUAUAUAAAGCUUAUUACAUGCCAGGUACUGUGUUUUAUGCUUUAUGCAUUUUAUACUCACUUAAUGUUCACAACAACCCUGUGAGAUAGAUGCUAUUAUUGUCCCCUGUUUUACAGAUAAAAUGGAGACACAGAGAUGUGAUGUAUUUGCCCUCAGUUAUGCAGCUGAUAAAGGGCAGAACUAGGAUCCAAACUUAGACAGCUUUGCUACUUUCUCCAUUAUCGCCAUGCUGUGCUGCUUCAAGGGCAAGAUCAUGCAAAACCUUGUACACUACUUUAAGUGUUUAAGCUUUACCUGAAGCCAUUGAAGAGCUUUUAUCAAGGAAGAGAGAUGAUUUGUCUUUUGUUUCACAUGGAUUGGGGUGAGCAAGACAGCAGGCCAGUUAGGUGCAGUUAUUCAGGCAAGAGGUGGUGGUAAUAAGGGCAGUGAUAAGAUAUUAGAGUCUAGAGCUAUUUAAGGAGCUAGUUUAAAAGGUGAUCUCAAUGUUCAAGGUCAGGAGAAGUCAAAGAGAACUCUGGGUCUGGCUUAUGCAUCUGGGCAAGUGGCUGGAUGGUGGUUAGAACAAUGAAACCUUUCAUAGGUUCAAUAAGAACAUGAAGAAAAUUGUGUGCAUUUCCAUUAAAUUAUGCAUUUACCAUAAAAAAUAGAACUCAAUCAAGAUGCAAGUAUUAAAGGACACAAUACUUAAAUAAUACACAUAUGUAAAUACAAAUAGUUACCUUUUAUUGGUUUCAAUCAUUGCUUAAAAUGCUAUCCCCAAGAUUUUUGUUGAGUGAAUUCAUAAAAUUCUUUGUACAUUUAAUCCAAACUUUGUGCAUAGCUCCACGGUGCUUCAUGGAAUUUGGCAAAAACAACAAACCUUGAAAGGAACGUUUAUGACUUUGUGUAGCAUUUCAGUUGUAAGGAAUCUUUUAUUUUAAUUCAGGGAAUGUUUUUUUUAAGAAAUCAAUUUUAUUGAUACGUAUUAAUAACGCAUAAAUUCAAACAAAUGUACAAUCAAUAGUAUUCAGUAUAAUCAUAGUUGUGCAUUCAUCACAUUCAUUUUUAGAGCAUUUUCAUUAUUCCA
RNAcentral lists this long non-coding RNA (2367 nucleotides) under Dasypus novemcinctus (nine-banded armadillo). RNAcentral's name for it is "lncRNA (ENSDNOG00000050356.1)". Lineage: Eukaryota; Metazoa; Chordata; Mammalia; Cingulata; Dasypodidae. The record is from RNAcentral.